ACAUCCAGCGAACUUGGCAGAGAUGCCUUGGUGGCCUUCGGGAACGCUGAGACAGGUGCUGCAUGGCUGUCGUCAGCUCGUGUUGUGAAAUGUUGGGUUAAGUCCCCGCAACGAGCGCAACCCUUAUCCUUUGUUGCCAGCGAUUCGGUCGGGAACUCAAAGGAGACUGCCGGUGAUAAACCGGAGGAAGGUGGGGAUGACGUCAAGUCAUCAUGGCCCUUACGAGUAGGGCUACACACGUGCUACAAUGGCGCAUACAAAGAGAAGCGACCUCGCGAGAGCAAGCGGACCUCAUAAAGUGCGUCGUAGUCCGGAUCGGAGUCUGCAACUCGACUCCGUGAAGUCGGAAUCGCUAGUAAUCGUGGAUCAGAAUGCCACGGUGAAUACGUUCCCGGGCCUUGUACACACCGCCCGUCACACCAUGGGAGUGGGUUGCAAAAGAAGUAGGUAGCUUAACCUUCGGGAGGGCGCUUACCACUUUGUGAUUCAUGACUGGGGUGAAGUCGUAACAAGGUAGGCGUAGCGAG
RNAcentral lists this ribosomal RNA (527 nucleotides) under uncultured bacterium. RNAcentral describes it as "bacterial SSU rRNA". It matches the Rfam family "Bacterial small subunit ribosomal RNA", at positions 984 to 1509 of the family's 1533-position model. The record is from RNAcentral.